UAGAAGGAAGCUCGCUGGAUAGAGUCUUUAGCUGUUAACUAAAGUCUUGCGGGAUCAAGGCCCGCCCUUCUAG
RNAcentral lists this transfer RNA (73 nucleotides) under Pelobates cultripes (western spadefoot toad). RNAcentral describes it as "transfer RNA-Asn". Lineage: Eukaryota; Metazoa; Chordata; Amphibia; Anura; Pelobatidae. The record is from RNAcentral.